Molecule: ribosomal RNA, 253 nt
Filed under: uncultured bacterium
Lineage: Bacteria
Description: partial 16S ribosomal RNA
Rfam family: Bacterial small subunit ribosomal RNA
Source: RNAcentral
UACGAAGGGGGCUAGCGUUGUUCGGAAUCACUGGGCGUAAAGCGCACGUAGGCGGAUCUUUAAGUCCGGGGUGAAAUCCCGAGGCUCAACCUCGGAACUGCCUUUGAUACUGGGGAUCUCGAGUCCGGGAGAGGUGAGUGGAACUGCGAGUGUAGAGGUGAAAUUCGUAGAUAUUCGCAAGAACACCAGUGGCGAAGGCGGCUCACUGGCCCGUAACUGACGCUGAGGUGCGAAAGCGUGGGGAGCAAACAGG